This 71-nucleotide transfer RNA is filed under the name Danio rerio (zebrafish). It matches the Rfam family "tRNA". Rfam says of the family: Transfer RNA (tRNA) molecules are approximately 80 nucleotides in length. Their secondary structure includes four short double-helical elements and three loops (D, anti-codon, and T loops). Further hydrogen bonds mediate the characteristic L-shaped molecular structure. tRNAs have two regions of fundamental functional importance: the anti-codon, which is responsible for specific mRNA codon recognition, and the 3' end, to which the tRNAs corresponding amino acid is attached (by aminoacyl-tRNA synthetases). tRNAs cope with the degeneracy of the genetic code in two manners: having more than one tRNA (with a specific anti-codon) for a particular amino acid; and 'wobble' base-pairing, i.e. permitting non-standard base-pairing at the 3rd anti-codon position. The record is from Rfam by way of RNAcentral. Lineage: Eukaryota; Metazoa; Chordata; Actinopteri; Cypriniformes; Danionidae.
GCAUUGGUGGCUCAGUGGUAGAUUUCUUGCCUGCCACACGGGAGAUCAGGGUCCGAUUCCCAGCCAAUGCA